UUAUUUGAGAGUUUGAUCCUGGCUCAGGAUGAACGCUGGCGGCGUGCCUAACACAUGCAAGUUGAGCGAUUUACUUCGGUAAAGAGCGGCGGACGGGUGAGUAACGCGUGGGUAACCUACCCUGUACACACGGAUAACAUACCGAAAGGUAUGCUAAUACGGGAUAAUAUAUUUGAGAGGCAUCUCUUGAAUAUCAAAGGUGAGCCAGUACAGGAUGGACCCGCGUCUGAUUAGCUAGUUGGUAAGGUAACGGCUUACCAAGGCGACGAUCAGUAGCCGACCUGAGAGGGUGAUCGGCCACAUUGGAACUGAGACACGGUCCAAACUCCUACGGGAGGCAGCAGUGGGGAAUAUUGCACAAUGGGCGAAAGCCUGAUGCAGCAACGCCGCGUGAGUGAUGAAGGCCUUCGGGUCGUAAAACUCUGUCCUCAAGGAAGAUAAUGACGGUACUUGAG
Molecule: ribosomal RNA, 455 nt
Filed under: Clostridioides difficile
Lineage: Bacteria; Bacillati; Bacillota; Clostridia; Peptostreptococcales; Peptostreptococcaceae
Description: bacterial SSU rRNA
Rfam family: Bacterial small subunit ribosomal RNA
Source: RNAcentral